This is a long non-coding RNA of Otolemur garnettii (small-eared galago), 445 nucleotides long. RefSeq lists it as uncharacterized. Lineage: Eukaryota; Metazoa; Chordata; Mammalia; Primates; Galagidae. The transcript has 3 exons. The record is from RefSeq and is a predicted model, not a curated record.
CAUCGCAAGGCGGUUAAAGUGCAGACUUAGGGGGAACCCGCCCCUGGGGUGUGAGGAGCAGCCCCAGGGGCUUCACGGAACUCGCUAGAGGACACACUAAAGGGCGCCGACAGUGACAAUUCGCAAGCUGGAUGGAGCCCGCAUAGCAUUCAGGAAGCAACCCAAAACACACAACUAACCACGGCAAGUGUCUAAUGUUCUGAGUGCUCUGGGCCAGGGGCACCUUUGCCACUGUUCUGUUUCCUCCUGCCAAUGAGAACUCCUUCUCCUUAAACACCUGGCAUGGAUGGUCAACUAACUAGAUGAAAAACAGACUGAUGGCUUGCUGUUGAAGGCUGAGAAACAGAGACCACGCACAGCCCUUCACUUCUUCUUCACAAGACCGUGGGAGACAUUUUUUAUUACAUUGGCUAGGAGACUUGCAUUCAAAACCAGCUGAGUAAAU